This 21-nucleotide non-coding RNA is filed under the name Caenorhabditis elegans. Lineage: Eukaryota; Metazoa; Nematoda; Chromadorea; Rhabditida; Rhabditidae. The record is from RNAcentral.
UUUCGGAUUCGGUCUUGUUGG